GAGCAACCUGCCCCUGACUCUGGGAUAAGCGCCGGAAACGGCGUCUAAUACUGGAUAUGUGACGUGACCGCAUGGUCUGCGUUUGGAAAGAUUUUUCGGUUGGGGAUGGGCUCGCGGCCUAUCAGCUUGUUGGUGAGGUAAUGGCUCACCAAGGCGUCGACGGGUAGCCGGCCUGAGAGGGUGACCGGCCACACUGGGACUGAGACACGGCCCAGACUCCUACGGGAGGCAGCAGUGGGGAAUAUUGCACAAUGGGCGAAAGCCUGAUGCAGCAACGCCGCGUGAGGGAUGACGGCCUUCGGGUUGUAAACCUCUUUUAGCAGGGAAGAAGCGAAAGUGACGGUACCUGCAGAAAAAGCGCCGGCUAACUACGUGCCAGCAGCCGCGGUAAUACGUAGGGCGCAAGCGUUAUCCGGAAUUAUUGGGCGUAAAGAGCUCGUAGGCGGUUUGUCGCGUCUGCUGUGAAAUCCCGAGGCUCAACCUCGGGCCUGCAGUGGGUACGGGCAGACUAGAGUGCGGUAGGGGAGAUUGGAAAUUCCUGGUGUAGCGGUGGAAUGCGCAGAUAUCAGAGAACACCGAUGGCGAAGCAGAUCUCUGGGCCGUAACUGACGCUGAGGAGCGAAAGGUGGGGAGCAAACAGGCUUAGAUACCCUGG
RNAcentral lists this ribosomal RNA (655 nucleotides) under Microbacterium paraoxydans. RNAcentral's name for it is "bacterial SSU rRNA". It matches the Rfam family "Bacterial small subunit ribosomal RNA", at positions 119 to 790 of the family's 1533-position model. Lineage: Bacteria; Bacillati; Actinomycetota; Actinomycetes; Micrococcales; Microbacteriaceae. The record is from RNAcentral.